Molecule: long non-coding RNA, 1790 nt
Organism: Leopardus geoffroyi (Geoffroy's cat)
Lineage: Eukaryota; Metazoa; Chordata; Mammalia; Carnivora; Felidae
Exons: 2
Source: RefSeq, a predicted model, not a curated record
GGAAAGCGAGAGUGUACUUUGGGUGAUUUAAGGAAGAUGUAAUAAAGGGAUUACCUCCAACAGUGUGGGCAGAGGGUAGGGCGCCACUAGCCUGGGUGUACUUCCUGGAUGACAGGGAUGGGGGGUGGGGGGAGCAGCUACCAGAACCCGGAGAGAGGCCUGUGUGGGCACCUUCUGCCAAGAGCUGAGGCCUUAGGUCAUUGAGGUGCCAGGUCACACACAGCAACCCUGCAGGGAAGGAGCCAGCUGGGAAAUUAAUAGCCUGACCCCAGCCUCCUCCCUCCAAACUUCCGGUGUCCUGCCCAUUCUCUGCCCAAUGGAAGCUGGAAGCCAGAGGGCCAGCCUCCCAGGGCACAGCGCAGGGUGAAGGUGGGAGUGAGUGGAUCUGGAGGAGCAAAUGAGAGGACCUAGGUGCUGAAGGGGUCACGUUUUGUUUAUUUUUGAGAGAGUGCACGCGUGAGCGUGGGACAGAGAGGUGGAGAUCUGAAGCGGACUCUAGGCCGACAGCAGUGGGCCCGAUGCCGGGCUCGAACCCACGAACCAGACCGCGAGACCAUGACCCGAGCCUGAGUCCAACACUCCACAGACUGAGCCGCCCAGGCGCCUCAGGGAUGGCUAUUUUAGAAAAGGUGAGGGAGGAAAGCUGUCUCUGAGCAGGGCCCUGAAUGCAUCCAUGAGGCCAGCCACCCAUGGAAAAGCAUUCCAGGGAGAGGGAAAGGCAAGCAAGCAUGCAGGCUCUGAGGCAGGAGUGUCCGUGCCCCCGGGCAGUGAGAGGCUGUGUGCCUGCAGAAGGAAGAGAGGCUGGGGAAGAGCAGGGGUCACCUGGCACAUAGCCUCCCAAGCCUGAGGAAGGGCUUUGGGUGUUAUUCAGAGACAGGUAAAGAGGGAGCGUCAGGCUCAUUCUGGCCGCUGGAGGGGCAUGAGACUACUUGUCUUUAGUUAUGUUUGCAAAGUUUGGCAUGGAGCAUACAUGAUUCAACUGGAGGGACAGCCAGUGCCCCCCAAAACUGGAGGCCACGAGAGAGCCAACAAGGCUGAGUGUGACCUCUCCCUGCCGUCAGUCCUGGACUGAGGGGAGAGGGAGGAAACACACAGUAAACUCCCUUCCCCCAGGCGCUCACGCUGUAGUCAGGGAGACAAAGAAACACGAGAACCUGUUUAACUCAAGAUGGGGGAACCGUCAGGAGAGGGAUAGACUUGAGGGCUGAAGACUGCCUGUGUGGGAUGGGUUGGCAAGUAAAGCUUCUGGAAGAGGCUCAUACUGAAACAGGUUCUUAAUUCUCUGAACGUCAGCUCACAUUGCGGGUGGAGGGGGCAGCCGGCCCGAGGGAAUGAUUUCCCAUGGACAUUCUCGCUUCUGGAGACACGUUCAAGGUAUUUUUCCUCCUCCUGGAGCGAGUGGCUUAGCCUCAACUCCAUUUUAUUACUAGCUUUUCCUUCUUUCCGAAACAAGUUGUUUUAUUUAAUUUUGAAUAGAUAAUAUAUGUACACAGUAUAAAAUUUAAAAGACAGGAAAAAGAUCUAAGUGAUGACUAAGCAUCUCCUUCUUUCCCUGUUUCCCAGGCUCCCAGUUCUCUUCCCUGGAGGCUACCAGUAUGUUAGUAUCAAUAUUAUCUUACCUAUUCUUCCAGAAAUAGUCUGUGUUUCAAAUGCAAAUGCUUGUAUAUACUCGCUCCUCUUUUUACCCAGUGGCGGAUACUAUACAAACUAUCCAUGCUUUCUCCCGCACUUCUCAGUGUAUCAUUUGGCAAUGGUUCCAUGUCAGUAAUAAAAAGUUUCUUUGUUCUGUU